This 498-nucleotide ribosomal RNA is filed under the name uncultured bacterium. Its description in RNAcentral is "partial 16S ribosomal RNA". It matches the Rfam family "Bacterial small subunit ribosomal RNA", at positions 30 to 523 of the family's 1533-position model. The record is from RNAcentral.
AUUGAACGCUGGCGGCAUGCCUUACACAUGCAAGUCGAACGGUAACAGGUCUUCGGAUGCUGACGAGUGGCGAACGGGUGAGUAAUACAUCGGAACGUGCCCGAUCGUGGGGGAUAACGAAGCGAAAGCUUUGCUAAUACCGCAUACGAUCUACGGAUGAAAGCAGGGGACCGCAAGGCCUUGCGCGAACGGAGCGGCCGAUGGCAGAUUAGGUAGUUGGUGGGAUAAAAGCUUACCAAGCCGACGAUCUGUAGCUGGUCUGAGAGGACGACCAGCAAGACUGGGAGAGAGACACGGCCCAGACUCCUACGGGGGGCAGCAGUGGGGAAGUUUGGACAAUGGGCGAAAGCCUGAUCCAGCCAUGCCGCGUGCAGGAUGAAGGCCUUCGGGUUGUAAACUGCUUUUGUACGGAACGAAAAGACUCUGGUUAAUACCUGGGGUCCAUGACGGUACCGUAAGAAUAAGCACCGGCUAACUACGUGCCAGCAGCCGCAGUAA